AGUGAACGCUGGCGGCAGGCCUAACACAUGCAAGUCGAGCGGCAGCGCGUCCGACCACCCUCGGGUGGUCGGAUGGCGGCGAGCGGCGGACGGGUGAGGAAUGCAUCGGAAUCUGCCUCGUUGUGGGGGAUAACGUAGGGAAACUUACGCUAAUACCGCAUACGACCUACGGGUGAAAGUGGGGGGACCUUCGGGCCUCACGCGAUGAGAUGAGCCGAUGCCGGAUUAGCUAGUUGCGGGGUAAAGGCCCACCAAGGCGACGAUCCGUAGCUGGUCUGAGAGGAUGAUCAGCCACACUGGAACUGAGACACGGGUCCAGACUCCUACGGGAGGCAGCAGUGGGGAAUAUUGGACAAUGGGCGCAAGCCUGAUCCAGCCAUGCCGCGUGUGUG
This 392-nucleotide ribosomal RNA is filed under the name uncultured bacterium. RNAcentral's name for it is "bacterial SSU rRNA". It matches the Rfam family "Bacterial small subunit ribosomal RNA", at positions 30 to 407 of the family's 1533-position model. The record is from RNAcentral.